UCCGGUUUAGCACCGGCAGUCUUUCCAGAGUCCCCGGCAUUACCCGCUGGCAACUGAAAACAGGGGUUGCGCUCGUUGCGGCACUUAAGCCAACACCUCACGGCACGAGCUGACGACAGCCAUGCAGCACCUGUGCUAGCCCCUUACGGACACGGGCUUUCACCCGCUUUAACUAGCAUGCCAAGCCUAGGUAAGGUUCUUCGCGUUGCAUCGAAUUAAUCCACAUCAUCCACCGCUUGUGCGGGUCCCCGUCAAUUCCUUUGAGUUUUAAUCUUGCGACCGUACUCCCCAGGCGGUCUACUUCCCGCGUUAGCUGCGUUACCAAGGAAAUUAAUCCCCGACAACUAGUAGACAUCGUUUACGGCGUGGACUAC
Molecule: unclassified non-coding RNA, 374 nt
Filed under: uncultured bacterium
Lineage: Bacteria
Description: contains 16S-23S intergenic spacer region
Source: RNAcentral